Molecule: unclassified non-coding RNA, 341 nt
Filed under: soil metagenome
Description: partial contains 5.8S ribosomal RNA, internal transcribed spacer 2, and large subunit ribosomal RNA
Rfam family: 5.8S ribosomal RNA (bases 3-120)
Source: RNAcentral
GGUGAAGAACGCAGCGAAAUGCGAUGAGUAGUGUGAAUUGCAGAAUUCAGUGAAUCAUCGAAUCUUUGAACGCACAUUGCGCCCUUUGGUAUUCCAAAGGGCAUGCCUGUUCGAGCGUCAUUUGUACCCUCAAGCUUUGCUUGGUGUUGGGCGUCUUGUCUCUAGCUUUGCUGGAGACUCGCCUUAAAGUAAUUGGCAGCCGGCCUACUGGUUUCGGAGCGCAGCACAAGUCGCACUCUCUAUCAGCAAAGGUCUAGCAUCCAUUAAGCCUUUUUUUCAACUUUUGACCUCGGAUCAGGUAGGGAUACCCGCUGAACUUAAGCAUAUCAAUAAGCGGAGGA